Molecule: long non-coding RNA, 4371 nt
Organism: Salvia splendens (bonfire salvia)
Lineage: Eukaryota; Viridiplantae; Streptophyta; Magnoliopsida; Lamiales; Lamiaceae
Exons: 2
Source: RefSeq, a predicted model, not a curated record
ACCGUUUUUUAUUUACUCGUUACUUGAAAACAAUUAAAUUAAUUAAACAAAAUAAUAAAAUGAUGAUGUGGCGCGCCAUAGGGCGCACCUUAGGGCGCCCCAUUGCUAAUGCUCUAAUUAAACCUAUGUUUGGUUCAAUAUUUACCUUUUUUGCAAGGCCCAAGUUUUUGUCACUGGCCCGCUCCAUAAAUGCACAUUUUUGUAUCUGCACAAAUUUGAGAUAUAGCGUAUCUUUUUCUCAUUUUUUUUUAUUUAUAUCUUACUUAAUUUACCAAAAUAACCCUCUGUUUUACCGCAAUAUCCAUUUCUCAUAUUUGUGCGUACAUAUCACCAUAUUUGCCUCCUUCAACCUCAAGCUAUUUUAAAAACUACCGACGGCCGCAGCAGUUUUUUUGAAGAAGGUACAUGGGAACCCCACACUGACUUCGGCGCGAAGAGAAGGUUAGUAUUCUGAGAUUGCAUUUUCGGUACAAAAGCCAUAAUUUUUUCCACAACAUCGUAAGAACAUUUUGAGCCAACUAAUUGGCAAUCUGGGUUACCCAAUUAUGGUUUUCAAAAGUUGUCUUCUUUAUUCGAUUGGCUUCAACAAGCCAUCUCGUUUGAAAGCUUCAAAAUUCGUUCUUUUUGUUUUGGUUUGCCGAAAUUUAAUGUGGUGCUGGGCGUAGCUAGGAUUUCAUCUCAGAAGGGGCAAAAUUUUGUAUAUAGGAAAAAUUUAUCUAUUUAAGAAGGGGCAAUUAGUAUAAUUAGAGUAUAUAAAUGGAAAUUUAUAUGUAAAUGUAUAAGAGUGAGGGAGGGGUGAGGAGGGGCAAUUGCCCCAGCACCUUGCAAGCUGGAUCCGACUGCUGCUAGACAAAAAAUUGAUAAGUUUUUGUUUUAAUUUGGUAAUAUUUUGUUAGCAAUAUUGAACAAUAUACAGAGUUGGAAUGGUUUCAAAUUGAUACGAUGAAAAGAUUGUGUUAUUGAGGAUUGUGAUCAAUUGUGAUAUCCAUCUUCUAUGCAGAUAUGUUUUUGUCGAUACUUAUUUUAGUUUCAAGUUUAUGCUGCCAAUACAUAUCAUUAUGGAAGACUUGGUCUGGUGGCUUCAUAUAUUUCAUUUGUUUGACACAGUAAUUUUAUUUACUCAUAAUUGCUUGUUGAUAAAUGGAUCGAACUUGUAAAAAAGAAAAACUGUGUUGCAUACGAUGGAAGAGAUUAUACUGAAUUAUCAUGUAGCUUGACUAUGUAUCAUGUACCUGAUCCUCAAACAAUUGGGUGGACUCAAUAAACGGAAGAGAAUUGAACUUGUACUACCUUACAACAUCAACGGCAAAAUGCCUAAGCAAGUCAGCCACAUGAACAGAUUGGUUUGUGGUCAAUCUUAGGAUGGACCGGAAUGCAUUUGGUAGGCUAUGUGCGUUGUUCCGACAGCUGGGCACUCUUUGUGACAAGCGGUUUGUGUAUAUUGAAGAACAAGUGGCCAUUUUUUUGGGCAUAUUAGCACAUCACAAGAAGAUUCGUCUCUGUGGGUUUGAUUUUUUUUGCAGUCCGGCCACACUAUUCAUGCUACGUCCAUGAGGUAUUUCGAGCUAUCUUGAAAGUACACACGUUGUUUAUCGUCAAACCUGAGGCAAUACCUGAUAAUUGUGUGGAUUGGAGGUGGAAACAUUUCAAGGGUUGUCUCGGUGCUCUCGAUGGUACUUUUUAAAAUGUUUUGGUUUCUAAUUCCGACAAACCACGCCAAGGGUCAAAUUACAACAAAUACUCUAGCAGCAUGUGAUCGACAUAUGCGGUUCACGUACAUAUUACCUGGAUGGGAAGGAUCUGCCGGUGACGCUCGAGUUCUUCGAGAUGCUGUCAGUCUCCCCUAUGGUCUAAGGGUCCUAUAGGUAUUGUAUUUCACACUUUAGUUCACAUAAAACGGACCUCUCAUGUGUGGUCUUGCUUUUGAAAGGAAAUUACUAUCUCUGCGACAAUGGGUACGCAAAUAGCCAAAGUUUUCUAACUCUAUAUAAAGAUGCUCGAUACCAUCUAAAGGAAUGGGGCUUGAACGCAGACACACCACAAAAUGCAGUCGAGUUGUUCAAUAUGCGUCAUACUAAGGCAAGAAAUGUAAUUGAACGGGCAUUUCGCUAUAUUGAAGAUGAGAUUUGGCAUACUACGGAGUGCAUCCUUCUAUCCCAUCAAGGUACAAGUUUGUUUGAUAUCGGCGUGUUUUUUACUACAUAACUACAUCAAGAGCGAGAUGGUUGUCGAUCCUCUAGACGAUCUCGUAGACCACUGGGUUGAUGGUAUCGGCACAAAUGCAGAGGCAUGUGAUGUCGAUUAUGUGGAGGCAAUAACUGACUGGAAGCUCUUUCGAGACCAACUAGCAAACACAAUGUGGUCUCUGGUAAAACUAUUGUUUUACAUUGUAAUUUAAAGACAAACAUCGAAACGGUCGGAGCAUAUUUUUUGGAAGUGUUUGCAGGUCCCGGAAGCAGCUCGAACCUGCAUAGCGUUCCAACCUCUAGCUCAUCAUGCGAGCAAAUUUGUUCCAUCCUCUCCUCUGCAUAUCCAAACGUCACCAUCUUUUAUCUUCACGAAGACAUCCCACGAAUUUAUGCCUACCCAUAAGGUCACUGAUUCAACAGAAUCUUUAUCUUGGAUGUGAGUUUUCCACCGUAUGUUCGGCAAGUUCUACAUCUAUAAUUUCAACGUCAAGGCAUAAAAGAAAUAACUAUAAAGAGUGAUGUAAUUACCAGUCCACGCUCCAAGUCAGACGUCAUCAAAACACAUGUGAAUGCAGGCAACGCCGACACAACUCUAGAUUGGUCAUAGUGAGGCUCAAGAUCACUGUCUUCGCUGAUGGCUGAAGACGAGUGUGUGACCUCUUUCGAUGUUGUUGUAUUGAACAAACCUUGGCCAGUUCUCAUCGAAGUAAAUUUCCCUGUUGAUUUUUGAUAUCCCAACCUUCCAAGGUAUUCCAUUUGGCAGCUGAAGUUCGCAUACACAGCAAAUCAUAGUGGAUGGAACCUCUAAAAUAAAACAUAAAUGUCAUACCAAACGGAUGUCGUAGUCAUCGCUGAACAUAAUUUUGCAGAAUGAAGGUUUCUAAUUCCUACGUCGAUGCGUGGCGAGGUCAAGAAGAUGUCAAUAUAGUUGUCGAAGAAAAUGGCUGAGUGGGAUGGUUUGGUCAUCCCCUUCGACGUACUCGAGCAAGUUUCGACCGUGAUCACAGCUGACCUGGGGCUCACCUUCUCGUGGCGUGAGUGGUUCGAGCGCUUUCGAUUCUUUGAGCAUCGUUAUCGUACCUUCAAAAUGGUUCAUGACACGGAAGGCGUUUACUGUAAUUUCAACACUAACGAGGUGAUAGCUCCAGUGGACGUCGGGGGAGAGAUUAUUGAAGGUUUCUUUAUUCUUUACUUCUGAUUUAUUUCAUUCAAAUCGAAAUAAUUGUAUUGUAAUGCAAUGUGGAAAAAGUUUAAGCAUUCUCUGAAGAAGAAGAAGAAGAAGAGGAGCAGUAGAAGAAAGAGUGAUGGCAGAGUCGGUUCUGUUUGAAUUGAAGAUAUCAGGGAUGCGGUGGAAUUACAAGCUGUUGAGUCAUUUAGACAAGCCUUGAUAUUUGAUGAGUUGCUACCAGACAAGUUUUAUGAUGCUUAGGUAGACAAGCACUGAAAAUAGCACAAGCAAAAAAAGUGACCACCUUCCCAAACAAGCAUGCAAAGUUACAAGUUCGAAUUACACAAUCCUAUAGCCUUUCACAGGAGAAGACAAUAUGUGAUCGAUCUACCAAACUAACACGAGGUAGCAAUACUACCAGGUAUCAUUUUCAAUUAUCUUUUAACCAUAGUUAUAUUUCUAUAGUUUGAUUUUAACCACAGUUGUACAUUCUUAGUUUCAUUAUAAUCAUCACUUGCUGUCGCACAAGGCAAUAACCAUCUCCCACAUUCCACAACAAUCACAUAACCAUAUCCCACAUUCCACAACAAUGGCCGAUAGCAAGGCUUCUUCUAGUUCCUGCCCUAGCUUCCCUCGGGAGAAGCUGAUCACGUUUGAGCAAGCCUUGAAGCAUGUUGAGAUGAAACUUCAAAAUGAAUUAGCAGACUUGGCACAUCUCAUGCGGCUCCUGAUGGACAUUCCGAAAACCUACCGACCGCCGGUGAGGAUGGACAAGAUGGACGAACUCAAACAUCUGAUCUGCUGCCCCACAGCCACCGUUAAUGUCCACCUCGACGACCCCCCUCCCCAAGGAAGGCGAGGAAAGUGAACACACCCUAGUAGAAAUUUAUUAGUUUCAUUUACAAAUGUCAUUUCUAUGUUCCACUCUUUUCGUAGGUAUUUAUGGGAUUGAGUCAGAUAACCUUAUUUUCAUUGGAGUCUAAAAUGAUGAAUUAUAGGGGAAACUUUCUAUAA